This 429-nucleotide ribosomal RNA is filed under the name Chloroflexota bacterium. Its description in RNAcentral is "Chloroflexi bacterium partial 16S ribosomal RNA". It matches the Rfam family "Bacterial small subunit ribosomal RNA", at positions 355 to 776 of the family's 1533-position model. Lineage: Bacteria; Bacillati; Chloroflexota. The record is from RNAcentral.
UGGGGAAUAGUGCACAAUGGGCGCAAGCCUGAUGCAGCCAUGCCGCGUGUGUGAAGAAGGCCUUCGGGUUGUAAAGCACUUUCAGCGGGGAGGAAGGCGAUAAGGUUAAUAACCUUGUCGAUUGACGUUACCCGCAGAAGAAGCACAGGCUAACUCCGUGCCAGCAGCCGCGGUAAUACGGAGGGUGCAAGCGUUAAUCGGAAUUACUUGGGGUAAAGCGCAAGCAGGCGGUCUGUCAAGUCGGAUGUGAAAUCCCCGGGCUCAACCUGGGAACUGCAUUCGAAACUGGCAGGCUAGAGUCUUGUAGAGGGGGGUAGAAUUCCAGGUGUAGCGGUGAAAUGCGUAGAGAUCUGGCGGAAUACCGGUGGCGAAGGCGGCCCCCUGGACAAAGACUGACGCUCAGGUGCGAAAGCGUGGGGAGCAAACAGG